AGAGAGCAGCCCAGCCUGAAAGUCCAGUUCAGUAAAUGGGUGGAGAGGAAACGAAAAUUUCUCCUCAGCAAAGCCAAUGUUGAAGACAACGGCCUCAAAGCUCAGAUGAGCUCAUUGACUCACCUGGGCAGGUGACUGUCCUGGUGCGCCAGUGCCCUGCCGAUGGACAAAUCCAAGAAGAAUAAACAGAUGCUGCCCAAAGCAACCAUGGGCCCUACACCCAAAGGUGAGGAUGAGUCUCCUAAAGCUUCUGCUCAUGACUUUUCAAGGUGCAGCGUGGCCUCCCACGAGGUGACCCCGCCAAGGGAAAGUGGCCUCCAGGGUCUGUAGAUCAGCUUCGCCAGAGUGUGGGCAGUCAUUUCACAGGUUCAGAGUCUUCCAGCUGGAAGGGACGUGUUGGCCUCCCACCCAGGGAGGCAGGACAAGCGGCUUUGGCAUGAAUUUCUCCUGUCCCUGGUGAUUUAUCUCCAUUUUUCUUUGGAA
Rhinolophus ferrumequinum (greater horseshoe bat) is the source of this 483-nucleotide long non-coding RNA. RefSeq lists it as uncharacterized. Lineage: Eukaryota; Metazoa; Chordata; Mammalia; Chiroptera; Rhinolophidae. The record is from RefSeq and is a predicted model, not a curated record. The transcript has 3 exons.